This 211-nucleotide ribosomal RNA is filed under the name Taenia hydatigena. RNAcentral's name for it is "partial small subunit ribosomal RNA". The record is from RNAcentral. Lineage: Eukaryota; Metazoa; Platyhelminthes; Cestoda; Cyclophyllidea; Taeniidae.
UGAUUCUUUUUAGGGGAAGGUGUGGUGUAAAGGAUGUUCCGCCUAAUAAUUUACUUUCGUUAUGUUGGUGUAUAUCUGGUUUAAUAUUAUCGUUGAGUAAGUGAGUUUGUGUAGUUUUAUUUAAGCCAAGUCUAUGUGCUGCUUAUGAAAGUAUUCAUGCGUUACAUUUAUAAGGUUUUGGUUGUAAUACGUAAAAUAGUGAGGACUUAAU